AGCAACAAACAUUUCCACCACAACAGCCAUAUCCGCAGCCGCAACCAUUUCCAGCACAACAACCAUAUCCGCAGCCGCAACUAUUUCCACAGCCGCAACCUUUUCCGCCACAACUUCCAUAUCCGCAGCCGCAACCAUUUCCCCCACAACAACCAUAUCCACAACCGCAAACACAGCAUCUGCAACCACAACAACCAAUUUCGCAGCAACAAGCACAACAACAACAACAACAACAACAACAACAACAAAUCCUUCAACAAAUUCUGCAACAACAACAACUGAUUCCAUGCAGGGAUGUCAUCGUCUUGCAACAACACAACAUAGCGCAUGAAAGCUCACAAGUAUUGCAGCAAAGUAGUUACCAAGUGUUGCAACAAUUAUGUUGUCAGCAGCUGCGGCAGAUCCCCGAGCAGUCGCGGUGCCAAGCCAUCAACAAUGUCGUUCAUGCUAUUAUUCUGCAUCAACAACAACAACAACAAGGACAACAUCAACAGUCGAGCCAGGUCUCCUACCAGCAGCCUCAGCAACAAUAUCCAUCAGGCCAGGGCUCCUUCCAGCCAUCUCAGCAAAAUCCACAGGCCCAGGGCUUUGUCCAACCUCAACAUCUGCCCCAACUCGAGGAAAUAAGUAACCUAGCGCUGCAGACGCUACCAGCAAUGUGCAAUGUCUACAUCCCUCCAUAUUGCUCGACCACCAU
RNAcentral lists this long non-coding RNA (697 nucleotides) under Triticum aestivum (bread wheat). RNAcentral's name for it is "long non-coding RNA (TAES_LNC018918)". The record is from RNAcentral. Lineage: Eukaryota; Viridiplantae; Streptophyta; Magnoliopsida; Poales; Poaceae.